This 560-nucleotide ribosomal RNA is filed under the name Hansenula anomala. Its description in RNAcentral is "eukaryotic LSU rRNA". The stretch from base 166 to 319 matches the Rfam family "5.8S ribosomal RNA". The record is from RNAcentral. Lineage: Eukaryota; Fungi; Ascomycota; Saccharomycetes; Phaffomycetales; Wickerhamomycetaceae.
CGCUUAUUGCGCGGCGAUAACCUUACACACAUUGUCUAGUUUUUUUGAACUUUGCUUUGGGUGCAUCAGCCUAGCUGCGUGCCCAAAGGUCUAAACACAUUUUUUUAAUGUUAAAACCUUUAACCAAUAGUCAUGAAAAUUUUUAACAAAAAUUAAAAUCUUCAAAACUUUCAACAACGGAUCUCUUGGUUCUCGCAACGAUGAAGAACGCAGCGAAAUGCGAUACGUAUUGUGAAUUGCAGAUUUUCGUGAAUCAUCGAAUCUUUGAACGCACAUUGCACCCUCUGGUAUUCCAGAGGGUAUGCCUGUUUGAGCGUCAUUUCUCUCUCAAACCUUCGGGUUUGGUAUUGAGUGAUACUCUGUCAAGGGUUAACUUGAAAUAUUGACUUAGCAAGAGUGUACUAAUAAGCAGUCUUUCUGAAAUAAUGUAUUAGGUUCUUCCAACUCGUUAUAUCAGCUAGGCAGGUUUAGAAGUAUUUUAGGCUCGGCUUAACAACAAUAAACUAAAAGUUUGACCUCAAAUCAGGUAGGACUACCCGCUGAACUUAAGCAUAUCAAUA